AGCAAUAUUUUUGAUGGCGUGAAAUUUCGAACCGUGUCAGGGGGGAAACUCAGCAGCACUAAGAUAACCUUCGCGGGUGUCAAAAUUAUUGAAGGA
This 96-nucleotide signal recognition particle RNA is filed under the name bacterium. RNAcentral describes it as "signal recognition particle sRNA small type". The stretch from base 6 to 91 matches the Rfam family "Bacterial small signal recognition particle RNA". From Rfam's summary of the family: The signal recognition particle (SRP) is a universally conserved ribonucleoprotein involved in the co-translational targeting of proteins to membranes. The record is from RNAcentral.